UGCAGUCGAACGGCAGCACGGAGCUUGCUCUGGUGGCGAGUGGCGAACGGGUGAGUAAUAUAUCGGAACGUACCCUGGAGUGGGGGAUAACGUAGCGAAAGUUACGCUAAUACCGCAUAGGAUCUAAGGAUGAAAGUGGGGGAUCGCAAGACCUCAUGCUCGUGGAGCGGCCGAUAUCUGAUUAGCUAGUUGGUAGGGUAAAAGCCUACCAAGGCAUCGAUCAGUAGCUGGUCUGAGAGGACGACCAGCCACACUGGAACUGAGACACGGUCCAGACUCCUACGGGAGGCAGCAGCGGGGAAUUUUGGACAAUGGGCGAAAGCCUGAUCCAGCAAUGCCGCGUGAGUGAAGAAGGCCUUCGGGUUGUAAAGCUCUUUUGUCAGGGAAGAAACGGUGAGAGCUAAUAUCUCUUGCUAAUGACGGUACCUGAAGAAUAAGCACCGGCUAACUACGUGCCAGCAGCCGCGGUAAUACGUAGGGUGCAAGCGUUAAUCGGAAUUACUGGGCGUAAAGCGUGCGCAGGCGGUUUUGUAAGUCUGAUGUGAAAUCCCCGGGCUCAACCUGNGAAUUGCAUUGGAGACUGCAAGGCUAGAAUCUGGCAGA
This 603-nucleotide ribosomal RNA is filed under the name uncultured bacterium. RNAcentral's name for it is "bacterial SSU rRNA". It matches the Rfam family "Bacterial small subunit ribosomal RNA", at positions 56 to 655 of the family's 1533-position model. The record is from RNAcentral.